UGGAAUAUAGCUCAGUUGGUAGAGCAUACGACUGUUAAUCGUAGAGUCAUGAGUUCGAGUCUCAUUAUUCCAG
RNAcentral lists this transfer RNA (73 nucleotides) under Enterococcus faecalis. Its description in RNAcentral is "tRNA-Asn". It matches the Rfam family "tRNA". From Rfam's summary of the family: Transfer RNA (tRNA) molecules are approximately 80 nucleotides in length. RNAcentral also lists the same sequence under 2 other names. The record is from RNAcentral. Lineage: Bacteria; Bacillati; Bacillota; Bacilli; Lactobacillales; Enterococcaceae.